ACUCCCAAAAAAGCCUAUGUCAGGAAAUUAAUAAUAUGAUGAGUCAAUUUUAGUAGGGCCAGAAGGAGAGGGAGAAUCGAAUUCAUUAAAUUUCUUGGAAACGUCUAUGCCAUUUGAAUAGGGAUGGUGCUAUGGGGUUCAGAGACUUGCAUAGUUUCAAUUUGGUGCUUUUGGCAAAAUAGGGGUGGAGCUUGAUUCGGUAUCCAAACUCUUUGUUAGCUCAAAUUAUGAGGAGCAAAUAUUUUUCAAAUGGUGAUCUUUUUACCAGCUCGCUCGAGAUUUAAUUCGUCAAAGGGCAUGGAGGAGCAUAAUGAAAGUUAAGGAAGUCUUAGCGCUCACCGUAAGUGAAGUAUGGUACUCCAAUUCAGUGUAUAUGAAUACCCUUUCACCCCUUUGGUUCAAAGCCCAUGCCCUCGGGAUAUCCAUUGGGUAUCACAAUUCUUAGAUUCUCGAAUGGGUGUGUAGAAGGAGGAUCCAGUUCGCAGCAUGUUCUCUCCCUCGAAUGCGAAGCAAAAGGGUUUAAACAUUCCAGAUUGCCAAACAUUUGAAACCAUAAGAAGACAGUGAAUAUCAUACGGACCUUGGUGGCUUUUGAGUUGUUCGCUUGAAGGGCUAUGAAGAAAAGUACCAAUGUGGAACAGAAGAUUAAAGCUGCUACCAUCACAAGGACCAUCAGCUAAUCAUGCUUCCUCCAGAAUGUGCAUUCAUGCGAAUGCCUGCACUUGCACGCGUGUAUGCAUGCGGGUGCAUAAAUAGGUUAAUAUAUGUACAUGCUGCAUCACAUCAUUCUGAUUGUUGAAAAAAUGGUGCAACUGUCGUUUCUAUUGUAAUAGGGAAGCGCAUAUUCUUCACAUCUCACCAAAACUUUUUAUGCCGCAUGGAAGGAAAAGGCAGAUUGUUGAUUAA
Molecule: long non-coding RNA, 906 nt
Organism: Ricinus communis (castor bean)
Lineage: Eukaryota; Viridiplantae; Streptophyta; Magnoliopsida; Malpighiales; Euphorbiaceae
Exons: 2
Source: RefSeq, a predicted model, not a curated record